This 67-nucleotide small RNA is filed under the name Bacillus sp. MUM 13. Its description in RNAcentral is "Bacillaceae-1 RNA". It matches the Rfam family "Bacillaceae-1 RNA". The record is from Rfam by way of RNAcentral. Lineage: Bacteria; Bacillati; Bacillota; Bacilli; Caryophanales; Bacillaceae.
GUCAGAUGAUCAAAGACUAAAAACGCCGCGUCCUGGGGCAACGUCUUUGAGACCCACAUCCUGCAGG